This 376-nucleotide unclassified non-coding RNA is filed under the name soil metagenome. Its description in RNAcentral is "partial contains 5.8S ribosomal RNA, internal transcribed spacer 2, and large subunit ribosomal RNA". The stretch from base 1 to 120 matches the Rfam family "5.8S ribosomal RNA", at positions 35 to 154 of the family's 154-position model. The record is from RNAcentral.
GAUGAAGAACGUAGCGAAAUGCGAUAAGUAAUGUGAAUUGCAGAAUUCAGUGAAUCAUCGAAUCUUUGAACGCAUCUUGCGCUCCUUGGUAUUCUGAGGAGCAUGCCUGUUUGAGUGUCAUUAAAUUCUCAACUACACUGACUUUGAAUUGGUGUGGCUUGGAUUUGGGGGGAAAAUUGUUGUGGGCUUUUUGUAUAGUCUGCUCCCCUGAAAUUGAUUAGCGGUACCUUUGUGGAACUGUCUACAGGUGUGAUAAUUAUCUACAUCUUAGACAUCUGCUGGAAUGCUGCUUUCUAAACCUUACUUGUAUUGACAAUCUUGACCUCAAAUCAGGUAGGACUACCCGCUGAACUUAAGCAUAUCAAUAAGCAGAGGA